GCUGGGUGUGGUGGUGCAUGCCUGUAAUCCCAGCAGCUUGGGAGGCUGAGGCAGGAGGAUCACAAGUUCAAAGCCAGUCUCAGCAACUGCAAGGCACUAGGCAACUCAGUGAGACCCUGUCUCUA
Molecule: small RNA, 125 nt
Filed under: Marmota monax (woodchuck)
Lineage: Eukaryota; Metazoa; Chordata; Mammalia; Rodentia; Sciuridae
Source: RNAcentral